Molecule: ribosomal RNA, 1947 nt
Filed under: human gut metagenome
Description: bacterial LSU rRNA
Rfam family: Bacterial large subunit ribosomal RNA
Source: RNAcentral
UUAAGUGAAUAAGGGCGCACGGUGGAUGCCUUGGCACUAGGAGCCGAUGAAGGACGGGACUAACACCGAUAUGCUUCGGGGAGCUGUAAGUAAGCUUUGAUCCGGAGAUUUCCGAAUGGGGAAACCCAACAUCUUUUAUAGGAUGUUACUUUUCAGUGAAUACAUAGCUGAUUAGAGGUAGACGCAGAGAACUGAAACAUCUAAGUACCUGCAGGAAGAGAAAGAAAAAUCGAUUCCCUGAGUAGCGGCGAGCGAAACGGGAAAAGCCCAAACCAAGAGGCUUGCCUCUUGGGGUUGUAGGACUCCGAUAUGGUAGUCCAGUGAGAUAGUCGAAGGACCUGGAAAGGUCUGCUAGAAAGGGUAAAAGCCCCGUAGACAAAAUUUGACUGGCACCUAGGAGGAUCCUGAGUACGGCGGAACACGAGGAAUUCCGUCGGAAUCCGGGAGGACCAUCUCCCAAGGCUAAAUACUCCCUAGUGACCGAUAGUGAACCAGUACCGUGAGGGAAAGGUGAAAAGCACCCCGGAAGGGGAGUGAAAUAGAUCCUGAAACCGUGUGCCUACAACAAGUUAGAGCCCGUUAAUGGGUGAUAGCGUGCCUUUUGUAGAAUGAACCGGCGAGUUACGAUUACUUGCGAGGUUAAGUUGAAAAGACGGAGCCGCAGCGAAAGCGAGUCUGAAUAGGGCGAAUGAGUAAGUGGUCGUAGACCCGAAACCAUGUGAUCUACCCAUGUCCAGGUUGAAGGUGCGGUAAAACGCACUGGAGGACCGAACCCACGUACGUUGAAAAGUGCGGGGAUGAGGUGUGGGUAGCGGAGAAAUUCCAAACGAACUUGGAGAUAGCUGGUUCUCUCCGAAAUAGCUUUAGGGCUAGCCUCAGAGUAAGAAUGAUGGAGGUAGAGCACUGUUUGGACUAGGGGCCCAUCUCGGGUUACCGAAUUCAGAUAAACUCCGAAUGCCAUCCAUUCAUCUCUGGGAGUCAGACUGUGAGUGAUAAGAUCCAUAGUCGAAAGGGAAACAGCCCAGACCACCAGCUAAGGUCCCCAAAUAACUAUUAAGUGGAAAAGGAUGUGGGGUUGCACAGACAACUAGGAUGUUGGCUUAGAAGCAGCCACCAUUUAAAGAGUGCGUAAUAGCUCACUAGUCGAGUGACCCUGCGCCGAAAAUGUACCGGGGCUAAAUAGUUUACCGAAGCUGUGGAACACACCAAUGGUGUGUUGGUAGGAGAGCGUUCUAAGGGCGUUGAAGGUAGAUCGUGAGGACUGCUGGAGCGCUUAGAAGUGAGAAUGCCGGUAUGAGUAGCGAAAGACAGGUGAGAAUCCUGUCCACCGAAUGACUAAGGUUUCCUGGGGAAGGCUCGUCCGCCCAGGGUUAGUCGGGACCUAAGCCGAGGCCGAAAGGCGUAGGCGAUGGAUAACAGGUUGAUAUUCCUGUACCCGUUGUUUUUGUUUGAGCAAUGGAGGGACGCAGGAGGCUAAGGAAUCAGACGAUUGGAAAUGUCUGUCCAAGCAAUGAGUCUUGAUGUGAGUCAAAUGCUUACAUCUCUAAGGACAAGUUGUGAUGGGGAGGGAAAUAAUAGUACCGAAGUUCCUGAUGUCACACUGCCGAGAAAAGCUUCUAGUGAGAAAACAAUGGCCCGUACCGCAAACCGACACAGGUAGUCGAGGAGAGAAUCCUAAGGUGAGCGAGAGAACUCUCGUUAAGGAACUCGGCAAAAUGACCCCGUAACUUCGGGAGAAGGGGUGCUGAUCUAACGAUCAGCCGCAGUGAAUAGGCCCAAGCGACUGUUUAUCAAAAACACAGGUCUCUGCAAAAUCGAAAGAUGACGUAUAGGGGCUGACGCCUGCCCGGUGCUGGAAGGUUAAGAGGAGUGCUUAGCGUAAGCGAAGGUACGAAUUGAAGCCCCAGUAAACGGCGGCCGUAACUAUAACGGUCCUAAGGUAGCGAA